CUCCUCGUCCCGCUACCUGCAGCGCCGUCUAUCCGUGCCUCCUUCCGCCGGACCGCGCCACCACGAAUCAUUCUUCUAUCCCAGCCGCCACCGUCGCCUGCCUCCCUUCCGGGCUGGCGCCAGGGCUCGGAUGAUGUCUACUUGUCUCGAGCAUCAUGCUUUUAUCGCGAGGACUGGUUUGUCUGCGAAACCCGAUGUUGUGAACACUCUUCGUAGAGCUGAUUGGCAGCGAGCAUCCAUUAUGCUAUCGAAUCUUCAGCAAACCAAGGAGGCAUUAACUUCGCAAGAUUUGUUUUCUAUAUAUUGGAGUACUGUGCAGAAGCACCUGGUCCUUUGGUAAAAUCUACUGCCGGAUGCAUAUUUCACUGAAAGCAUGGAGUUUGCUAUAGUCAUCUUGGGCAGUUCUAUUUUUUGGGGAUCUUUUCCCAUAUGUAUAGUUUGCUAUGGAGAUGUUGGAGAUCGUUGAGAAGAAGGCCAUAGAUAUUGGUAAAGGCAAUUACAGAUCUGUCACUCGAGCACUCACUGAAGGAGGGUAUUGCAAUGAGUUUUGCAGAGAAAUUUGUCUCUAGGUAUUAUAGUCCAAGCAUUAUUACUAUGAGGAAAUUUCGUGAAGGCUUUCUCUACAUUAGGUGACCUUGAAUCUGCAGUGUAUGGUCAUAUCUUGCAGCGUAUGGUAGUCCUUGCUGGAGAAGGCACUGACCAUCCGAGAGUGUCUUCCAAAAGGAGAUGCCAAUCAAAAAG
This is a long non-coding RNA of Lolium rigidum, 741 nucleotides long. RefSeq lists it as uncharacterized. The record is from RefSeq and is a predicted model, not a curated record. NCBI's taxonomy places the organism in Eukaryota, Viridiplantae, Streptophyta, Magnoliopsida, Poales, Poaceae. The transcript is spliced from 3 exons.